GAUAACUGGCUUGUGGCAGCCAAGCGUCCAUAGCGACGUUGCUAUUGAUCUUCGAUGUCGGCUCUCCUAUCAUGCGAAGUAGAACUCGCCAAUUGUUGGAUUGUUCACCCACUAAUAGGGAACGUGAGCUGGGUUUAGACCGUCGUGAGACAGGUU
This 156-nucleotide non-coding RNA is filed under the name Phytophthora infestans T30-4. RNAcentral's name for it is "Eukaryotic large subunit ribosomal RNA". It matches the Rfam family "Eukaryotic large subunit ribosomal RNA", at positions 2825 to 2984 of the family's 3401-position model. Lineage: Eukaryota; Oomycota; Peronosporomycetes; Peronosporales; Peronosporaceae. The record is from Rfam by way of RNAcentral.